CUGUACAAGAGUGUGUUGCCUACUGCAGGGCCAAUGAAGCAGGGCGUUCGGUGUCCCUUUGCAUUCGGGAAUACUGCAGUCCUAAAAAGUGUGUGGAUUAUUGUAAAACCCUCACUAAUAGAAUCCAACCAUGCAUUAAAACUUGCGGAGUUGGACCAUAAAAACAAAGGGAGAGGAACCAUGGAAUCUUAAAAUGAUAUAAAAUAAACAUAUCUUCGAUAUAUCGUAUACUAGUAUUGUUUUACUA
Long non-coding RNA from Mytilus trossulus (common blue mussel), 247 nucleotides. RefSeq lists it as uncharacterized. The record is from RefSeq and is a predicted model, not a curated record. Lineage: Eukaryota; Metazoa; Mollusca; Bivalvia; Mytilida; Mytilidae. The transcript is spliced from 5 exons.